This 206-nucleotide long non-coding RNA is filed under the name Elaeis guineensis (African oil palm). Its description in RNAcentral is "long non-coding RNA (EGUI_LNC006338)". The record is from RNAcentral. Lineage: Eukaryota; Viridiplantae; Streptophyta; Magnoliopsida; Arecales; Arecaceae.
ACCCUUUUUUUUCUUUCCCCCGGUUGAGCCAGUCGGUUCAGACCGACAUCACUACUCAUAUGUGAGCAAGUGCGGAAGCAAACUGGAAAGAUGCCAACCACCGCUUGAUGUGGACAAUUCAGACGUCAUGUCGUGAUGGUGGAAGAAGAGCGGCAUCUUUCGCACUUGUUCCAAUGCUUUACUCAAAAAGGAAAAGCACUUGUUCU